This 497-nucleotide ribosomal RNA is filed under the name uncultured bacterium. RNAcentral's name for it is "partial 16S ribosomal RNA". It matches the Rfam family "Bacterial small subunit ribosomal RNA", at positions 28 to 507 of the family's 1533-position model. The record is from RNAcentral.
GAUGAACGCUGGCGGCGUGCCUAAUACAUGCAAGUAGAACGCUGAAGGAAGGAGCUUGCUCUUUCCGGAUGAGUUGCGAACGGGUGAGUAACGCGUAGGUAACCUGCCUGGUAGCGGGGGAUAACUAUUGGAAACGAUAGCUAAUACCGCAUAACAGUAGAUGUUGCAUGACAACUAUUUGAAAGGGGCAAUUGCUCCACUACCAGAUGGACCUGCGCUGUAUUAGCUAGUUGGUGAGGUAACGGCUCACCAAGGCGACGAUACAUAGCCGACCUGAGAGGGUGAUCGGCCACACUGGGACUGAGACACGGCCCAGACUCCUACGGGAGGCAGCAGUAGGGGAUCUUCGGCAAUGGACGGAAGUCUGACCGAGCAACGCCGCGCGAGUGAAGAAGGUUUUCGGAUCGUAAAGCUCUGUUGUAAGAGAAGAACGAGUGUGAGAGUGGAAAGUUCACACUGUGACGGUAUCUGACCAGAAAGGGACGGCUAACUACGUG